Molecule: ribosomal RNA, 468 nt
Filed under: uncultured bacterium
Lineage: Bacteria
Description: partial 16S ribosomal RNA
Rfam family: Bacterial small subunit ribosomal RNA
Source: RNAcentral
GACGAACGCUGGCGGCGUGCUUAACACAUGCAAGUCGAACGGAAAGGCCCUGCUUUUGCGGGUUUCACGUUAGCGGAGCGGGGGAGAAACACGCGAGUAUCCUCCCCUUAUCUUUGGGAUAUCUCCUCGAAACAGGGGCUAUAACCGCAUAGAAGCUCUUGCACCAUGUGGUGGAUUGGAAAGUUUCGGCGGUUGUGGCUGGACUCGCGGCUUAUGAGCUGGUUGGUGGGGUAGUGGCUUACAAAGGCUUUGACGGGUAGCCGGCCUGAGAGGGGGACCGGCCACAUUGGGACUGAGAGACGGCCCAGACGCCUACGGGAGGCAGUGGGGGGGAAUAUUGCAGAAUGGGCGGAAGCCAGAUGCAGCAACGCCGCGUUCGGGAUGACGGCCUUCGGGUGGUAAACCGCUUUCGCCUUUGACGAAGCGUGAGUGACGGUAAUGGGUAAAGAAGCACCGGCUAACUACGUG